GUCCAGCCGUUGGCGCUCGUCGAGACCGGCCGAGCGCGGCCAAAAGACAAAUGCGUCGAGGGUGCGCACAGCGGCGACACGGGUCUUGUCGAGCGGGCCGACGUCGCGCUCCGACGUCGGCAUGUAGUCGCGAAUCUCGGUGACUGUCAUGACGGGCAGUCGACCUCGCCACUGGCGGGGCUCGUGGGGAAAGGCAUAUCCGAGUGGCGGUUCUUUAUUUCGCGGACCUACGGCGAGAAUGUGCCACGGGCCGUCGAUCGUGCGCCCGGCCAGCGCAGGGUCGACCGCGGUGGUCGUCGUUGAUGACGAAAAGAUAAAGCGCGUGAUCACUUCAGGGAUCCACCCGUUGGCGUCGAUGGAACGCGGCCGACGGCAGUGGAUCAUGUCGCCGUUGGGAUAGGUGACGCAGAUGUCGAGCAAAGGAUCUGACGAUCCAAAGUCUCCGCUGAUCGUCGUUCCGUCGUCUAGGUAGACCGUGCCUCUGCCAAGCGCUCUGUAGCAAUCCAGCACUUUUCCGUCAUAGACAACGACACCAGAGGGGCCAAACAAGAGCCCCUUGUCGGCACUGCCAGACUUGUCGCAGAGACCCUUGAACGCCACCGAGCCGUCGCUGCGGUUGACGAUGCUGGGGAGGAGGCUACCGCGGUGGUCCGGAUUCGGCGCUCGGUGGACAAUGUGCCGCGCAAAGAUGCGCUUGAUGGCGGGCCAACGAAGAAAGCCGUCCGCCCAUUGGCCCUCGUAUGCGCCAUGUGGUGUGAUCAGCAGGCCGUGGCCGUGGGCGCGCCCUCUGAGACAAUCGCCUUCAUAGUAUUCCGUGCCGCCAUACUUGGCGGCCCACACGCGCACCCGACCGUUGGGCAUGCCGCGCUCCCACUCGCCGAUGAUUCUGCACACAACACCGGCACCCGAGUCCUUGACGGUGACAGACUCGCCGCGUCCAUGGGGCUGGGGGCGGUCGCCAAGAACUAUGCCGCCCAGGUAGGUUGUACGCAUGCCGGACCCUUUGCGUGUCGUCAUCGGUGGCAAUUCAGAGGUUGAAAUUGCAAAGGGCGAGAGGACAAAGUCGUGGAUCUUGGCGACGGCGCAUGGCGGCACGUCGGGCCAGCGGGCAAAACAACGAGAGCGCCCCAAAGGCGCCAGAUGGACCGCGUACGCCCAGCGAUGAUCCUCUGUGUCCAGACGCGUAACACCGAUAUGCAGGCCAUCGGCCAGCACACGAUUCCACGCACGCAACGGCUCCGACGCAUCGGUCGGGUCGGCGAGCCAUGCGCGCGCACACGCGAUGGUUUUGUUGUGCGCGGCGGUCUGCUCCAGACUCACGGUGCAAGCGACCUGCUCUUUAUAAAAGCGUCGCCACAGUCGGUCGUCGAGGCAUACCAGCCGCGUGCGGUGGUCCACACAACCCAGCGAGGCCACCGAGGCGAUAUCCAAAAAGGAAGCCACGUGCAAGAGGAUUUCGUCGGCGAGGUCGUCCCACCCAAUCGCCGCCCGGCGCUGGCGCUUUUGUCGAUGAGUCGGAAUGUCAGAGUCUGCCGUGCGCAUUUGGUCUAGGCUGGGCGGACGUAAAGGAUCACGUCCCGCUGCCCUGCCUUCCUGUCGUCCAUGCAAAAAGAGCGCCCAUUCGUCACUUUUCUUUUUCUUUUUUUUUGUUU
This 1652-nucleotide long non-coding RNA is filed under the name Pandoravirus celtis. Its description in RNAcentral is "hypothetical ncRNA". The record is from RNAcentral.